UACGUAGGGUGCUAGCGUUGUCCGGAUUUAUUGGGCGUAAAGAGCGUGUAGGCGGCCUGAAAGGUCAGCUGUGAAAACUCGAGGCUCAACCUCGAGACGUCGGUUGAAACCAUCUGGCUAGAGUCCGGAAGAGGAGUGUGGAAUUCCCGGUGUAGCGGUGAAAUGCGCAGAUAUCGGGAAGAACACCCGUGGCGAAGGCGGCACUCUGGGACGGUACUGACGCUGAGACGCGAAAGCGUGGGGAGCGAUCCGG
This 253-nucleotide ribosomal RNA is filed under the name uncultured bacterium. Its description in RNAcentral is "partial 16S ribosomal RNA". It matches the Rfam family "Bacterial small subunit ribosomal RNA", at positions 524 to 776 of the family's 1533-position model. The record is from RNAcentral.